GUCACUUCCGGUUGACCUAUUUUAAUGUAAGGGUGUCGCGGGUCAAACUCGUCAAUCUCAGGAAUAUAAAUCUUUCCACCUGGAUGAAACCCUGAAUAAAGAGUCAAUGAGAAUACUGGAAACAAACAGGCCUUGGAGGAUCAUUGUGAUUCACUUAUCCAGUUGUAAAGGAAAGGCCAGGGACAUCUGCUCCUUUGGGAAUCUGCAGCCCUUUGAAAAGAAAAUAGAGGUUAAAAAUCUGCUAAAUGAGUUAGCAGCAACAGGAUCCUUCUCUACCAGAGGGCAAGUGUGAAGAACAAUGUCUCCAAGUGGCAGGGAGGCAGCAGAGAGAACGAUGGAUGAUCGGCUGGGCUCUGCUGUUCAACGUUCCCAUUUCCCCUGUCACGUCCCUUCCCCUCCUACCCCCUUUGCCU
This is a long non-coding RNA of Eleginops maclovinus (Patagonian blennie), 413 nucleotides long. RefSeq lists it as uncharacterized. NCBI's taxonomy places the organism in Eukaryota, Metazoa, Chordata, Actinopteri, Perciformes, Eleginopidae. The transcript is spliced from 4 exons. The record is from RefSeq and is a predicted model, not a curated record.